AAGUUGUUUUCUAAUGCUCACGCGCUAUGGCCGAAGUCUGCAAUGGAUGGGAGAAAGGGGAGGACCAAAUUAGCUCAGAUUCUUUACAGUUCACAGCAUCAGCUGUUUUAUUUAUUUGUUUUAGAUAGCGAAGCCAAAAAAAGUUGGAUGGGGGCAAAAAUGCCAACUAAAAUAGCUCAUAGUUCUGAAGUAGAGAGAAGUCAGAAUUUCCCGUUUUCUCUUGUUUCUCUCAGGGAUGGUCUAUAUGACUGGCGCUCCUUGGAAGCAGUGCUGAGGGCAUUAUCAAGAGUUUCCAGGGCCUCCUCUUUCUCCUGAAACCUUCUUCAAGGAGGGUAAAGUUUUAAGAGAGUUCAAAAGUACCACAGACUUCCAGGGAAUAGUAGUUUUUGUCGUGACAAGCAUGGACAUUUUCUUGCGUCAUGUACUAUUUCAGAAGGUAGAGACCACAAAAAGGCUUCUUACUGUGGCCACCGUGGACAUCUUCCCACAUCUACAAGGUGUUGUGGCCACAUCAUUGCUGCACCCAGUUUCCUCAGAAGAAAUACCUGUUGCUUAGGUUUAGAAACGAGGCAUGUAUACGUAUUUAACAGUUCUCAGAAUGUCAAGGAUCCCUCCUCAGAGCAAGAGCUCGAAUUUACAAAAGAAGCACUACCUCCUUUAUCACAUAGUAAAAUAAAGGACCGUGUCUGCUCCAGGACAUGGCUGGUUACAAUUUUGUUUUAAAGAAAUCACCAGAGAAACCUGAGAUUCCAACCCAGCCUUUUGUUUGCCUGGGAUUAUAGCCCAGUUCUUACAAGCAGAGAAGCCUAGGACACUAACCCAGCUUCAAGAGUAUACUCAGAAUCUCAAGAAUCACAAUCUGUGCUGCCCAUUCUUCAACAGACUGUCAUCUGGAGGCCUGGAUUGGAUCAGGAGUCGGGCUCACCAAUGGAGCCCCAAUCAGUCAGUCAGGAGUGAAGAUGAAAGCUUCAAAGCCAGCACAAGAGCACACAGGAGGCCGGCAUAAUCACGAAUUGCAGCUGUCUGAAGGGCAGUCACAUAAAAGAGGAGAAGCUUCACCUUUGCUUCACAAGGCACAUCUUGAACCAGGGAUGGAAAUUACAGAGAGGCCAAAACCAGCUCGGUGUGAGCAGGACUGGUAACAGACUGGCCAAGCAACAGAAGGGGCUGCCCUGUGAAGAAGCAAGCUCUCUGUCAAUGGGAGGUGCAAGCUGAGCCUGCACUACCUUUUGUCACGGUUGCUAUGGAAAAGAUUAAGAGCCCGGGCCUGGCUGUUCCCACCUCAAACCACUUCUUAGCUUCAUUUGUUCUCAUAACAACAGGAUAGCCCUUCCUCCUCUGGGGGCCUGGGCAUCAGCAAGUCGGAUGGCAGUGGAAGGUGGAGAAAUGGAAUCCUGCUGGGGGCUCAGGAGGCCUGCCCCCUGAUGCUGCCGUGCACUGCAGAUGUCCUUGAUGAAGAGAAUGAAUGGAAGGUAUUGGAAGGGAGCUGAAGUUCAACAAAUGACCACCUAAUGAAAAAGUCAGCAGUGGAUUGCUUGAGAUCUUGAGCACCCUGUACUGUUAUUAGUAUUUAUAAACAUGUUUGAAAGAUGUUCCCUUCCUUCACUGUAGUGCCAGAAAGCCUUUAACAUAUUGGGUCCGGUCUAGAUUUGUAAGGAAGUAUGGCUGAAUUGUUAUCGGGUGGAUACAGUUUACAUGUUUAAAGCUGUCUUUCUCAAUGGCAAAAGGGCAUACUGCUGUUAUUGUCAGUGAGGGGUCAGUAGUUUAAAUGAUGAAACUCUGGGGAUCAGCGUAAAGUAAACCAACAUACUGCAUGUAAGUAUCAAGUAAAUGAGCAGAGACAGCCCCUGGUUUACAAACACCUGACUUAAGCAUCGUCCAUCCUACAGGUAAAUUCCUCAUUCUUACUGCUGUGAGAACAAUUGUUAGGAGCCAAAAACUUCAGAGCUUUCAAAGAACUGUAAUGAGAUAGCACAAUGCAGGCAAAAAGCCAGUGUUAACGGAGCAAGAAACUUCCCAGUUCUGACAUUCACAGCAUGACCUAGAGCAUGCGGAUUCCCCUCUCUGAGUCACUGGUUUCUCACCUGCAAAAGAAAGCGGGGACAGGGAAGGAGGAAGAAGCUUCGAGAGGCUGGAACAGUUGAGGGAGCGCUGACACGGUAAAGGCCACUUUGCUCAUCAUCACCAGGCGUGCUGCCGAAAAUUUCCACUCUGUUUACUCCCAAGACCUUACUCCUACUAUGUGGAGACACAUUUGAAUAAAAAAUUGGCCUCUUUUCAAAGUC
Homo sapiens (human) is the source of this 2285-nucleotide long non-coding RNA. Ensembl annotates it as long intergenic non-protein coding RNA 2052. The record is from Ensembl. NCBI's taxonomy places the organism in Eukaryota, Metazoa, Chordata, Mammalia, Primates, Hominidae.